This 6241-nucleotide long non-coding RNA is filed under the name Sus scrofa (pig). RNAcentral's name for it is "lncRNA (ENSSSCG00055015420.1)". The record is from RNAcentral. Lineage: Eukaryota; Metazoa; Chordata; Mammalia; Artiodactyla; Suidae.
GGACUUUAUAUGGUUGAGCCAGACUCUCAACUCUGUUACUGCUCAGAUCACUAUUACAACAUUCCCUUGACUUCCACUGGGUUUGAAAUGAAACACUAAGUUAGCAGUUCCUGGGCUAAUGUCAUGAUCACGUCUGAAGUGUAUCCAAAGUAACUUGUAACCAGGAAUAAGUUAAGUGCCAAUUGUUUUUAAAUGACUGACUUCUUUUUAAAUAAAGUAUAGGCAGGGUUAUUCCCAUAACUUAUUCUCAUUCUGCUAAUGAUUUCUUGAGUGGGAAAGAGGUAGAUGUUAUAAUACACUUACAACCCCCCCCCCCCACAUAUCCCAAAUCUACAGUAAAUAUCUCUUAUGGGUAUAUUAUAAACUAAUGGCUAUAAUUAUGAAUUACUGUAAUUACAAAGUUUGUGACAGUGGGUGUUGUUUAUCCAGUCUGUAUACUUGUAUGAGAAUAUUUUAUACCUGGGAGUGUGAUUUUUUUGUGUUAGUUAUGGAUCAGUGGACGGAAUUUGAUACCUUUCACUCUCGAGGGCCAAAAGCUAAUGCACUGUGAAUAGGGCAAAAGUUAAUGCACUGUGAAUACAGUCUCCAGAAAAGCCCAGGUAAAUAACAAUAAUUAGGCAGAUAAUGCAAAGUUUGAUAAUUAAAAGAACAGCAAUAAUAAACAGUAGUGUAAAAUAUAUUACAACCAGUUCAGGAAAUAAAUGGUAGCAGGUAUAACUCGAAGUGAUAUUUAUCAGUAUUAUCUCAUUAGGGAAAGCUAUAUAUAUAUAAUUAAGUAUAGCCUUAAUUCUAACAAAAAUGCACAUAUCAUUUAAUUACAUUUUUCUUUCAGUAAAUUUUAUUUAUUAUAGAAGUUGUAUUUUUCAUCAUAUAUUAUCAAAAUCACCUUGCAUCUGAUAUAUUUUGUACCUCUUCCCACCAUAAAAAUUUCAGAAGUCAUCUGGUAUUUAUCAUUGGCAAUAAAAUAAUUCUGCUAAUGACAUAUUAGGUGAUUAAUGCGUAUCUGAUUUCAUAAACUGGAAGUACAUUUCUAAGCUACAACAAAUUGGUGAGUAGGUAUCUUUCAAGGUAAUAAUGGUGAUGCUCUGUGCGAUUCAGUAACAAACAAGAAAUACGCACUAGGAAGAGAAAACUGAACAUUUUAAUGAGUUAGAGAAAAACAUGAGAAGCUACACUUUAAGAAGAAAAGCAUACACACAAACUCAGCAGUUAGACUGAAUAGAAAUAUGAAGAGAUAAAUGACUUCAUAUGCAUUCAACAGACAGAAAAGUUUGAGGCAAUGAGGCUAAACAAGAAAGAGGAAAAGUGAAUGAAACCUCCGUGACCACAUGCUACAAACUCAGAAGAAGAAUCUGGGAGUAUAAGAGGAUGAAGCUAUGAAACCUUGAACAAAGAGCUUAAUAGCAAUUAAAAUGAAGAGAAAAUUCUGGGAUGGAUAAACAAAUAGCACAUAUUACAAAGUGAAAUAUGCUGGUAUCAUGUAAGAGAUUACUUAGUCACUGCUUUCAAAUAAUUGGAUCAUAGACACAGAUUUCUGAGGUUUUAAGCUCAUUAGUUUGGCUCCCUGGUUUCUCCUAGGAUGCAAAGCUGCUUUUUCUUUCUUUCAUUAUUUCUUUUUUAAGUGAAAGUUGAUACCUUUUAUAUGUUACAGAGAAGAGGCAGAAAAAGCCACACUCCCACUAUGGUACAAUGCACUGAGGAUCAACUGAGGGAGGAUUAUACACAUGGCUGGAAACAGUUUAUUCAUCUGUUCUUUUGCUUUGUAAAUAACAAAUGGUGGUAUUCUGUAACAUCUUGUGUGAUUAGCAAAUGUGAGGUCAAAAUGAAUCUUUUAACAGUUGUUUAGAAAUAGUUUGAUUUUCCUUAAUUAGAUUGGCAUUUAUUUGGAAUUCAUUCUAAUAGUAAAUUUGCAAGCAUAUCUCUUCUAGUCGUCUCCCUUAGAAAUUAACAGUUGAGUACACAAAACAAGAAGAACAAAGAUUUAGACUUGAAUGAUUAAAAGCAUUAUAAUUUUUUUUUUUUACAUGCAAGUAUUCCUUAAAACUGUGCCUGAAAACUGGAAUAUCAUGAUAAUAUUAGAGAUCAUGGUAAAGGGACUAUAUUUUAACUGAACUUUCUUUCUCAUGAUAGAAUCUUUUGAAUAAUUCAGUUACCGGUACUACUUAAACUACUAGAUUUGUCUGAAACAAGACAGCUUAACAUCAGAUUCUAUGUGAUAUUGAAUUCUACUUCAUGAUGAAUUACAUUGUGAUUCUAUUUAAUUUCAUUCAAUUCAGUAAUCAUUUCUGAAGCACUUUUUCCUAUGAAAGAUCUCGAAUUAGCAUAUGAAAAUACAGAACACACAGUGUAAAGCUUUUGACAUUUUGAAAAGCAGUGUGAAAGAAAUAAAUAUUUGCACAAAUAUUUAGCAUUAAUAUUACAAAAUAGGAGUUCCCGUCGUGGCACAGUGGUUAACGAAUCCGACUAGGAGCAAUGAGGCUGUGGGUUCAAUCCCUGCCCUGGCUCAGUGGGUUAACGAUCCGGCAUUGCCGUGAGCUGUGGUGUAGGUUGCAGACGCGGCUCGGAUCCUGCGUUGCUGUGGCUCUGGCGUAGGCUGGCAGCUACAGCUCCGAUUAGACCCCUAGCCUGGGAAACUCCAUAUGCCGUGGGAGUGGCCCAAGAAAUGGCAAAAAGACAAAAAAACAAAACAAAAAAAACAAAAUGAACACACGUGUGGGGGGGGUGUAUAUGAAAGACAUGAGGGGUCUUUUGUGAAAAGUUAAAUUUUUAAUUAUGUAAGUGACAUAAAAUUAGCCUUUACUUGUAUUGACCAUUGCUGGAAUGUUUAGUAAAAUAUUCAUAGAGGUUUUUUUUGUUUGUUUGUUUUUGCUACUUUUAUAACUCUUAAACUUCUAUCAGAGUGCUUAUUUAUUCCUUCUUUAAAAGUUGGAUUAAAUGCACACAGAUGAAAGACAAAAUGCCCAGAAUAACCACUAAUUUACUUUUAAGGAAAUUAAAAAAUGAUGAUGUUUAUGGUGUAAAGAAUAGUGAUAAAAGAUAGGAGAGCACACUGAAAAUAUUUUUUGGGAAAUAUAAUUAUUAGUCUUAAUUAGCUUAAUGAGUCACAGUUGUUUAUAAGGAGAAAGAACAGAUCUUUGGAGGAGAAAUUAGAGGAAUUAGCUAGAAACUUUAGGUGGAAUGUAUUAUUUCAAACUUCUGAAAAAGUUAAAACCAAUUAAUUUUCUUUCUUUUGUCUUUACUUCCUUUCCUGAUAAAAUAACUAAGACAUUGCCUCCUAUUAGCUCCAAUAUCACUUUUCAAUGUAUUAGAUAUGCAUGCAUUAGACUUACUAUUUAUCACUUCCAUUCAAUAUUUGCACAUCAGGUUCACCUAAUUUUAAAUCAUAAUUACUACAGUAGUAAAAUUACCAGAUUUUAGAAAAACCAGUAAGUUCAUGGAGCCUAAAUCUGCUGAACUUAUUUUUUUCUUUAAAAUGAGGGAUAAGCUAGGUUUUCAACUGCACUGUUUACUUAGGACAUCUCCUAGAGAAGUUAGAGAUGGUGUUGUGAUUAUAUAUUGUUAAUUAUGGCUCACAUGAAUUCUCUCUGAUUUACCUUUGAAUUUUAUUUGUGUUGCAAGCUCGUUAUCAUAUUUUCCAAGGUGCCUUGACUACUUUUCUGAUAGCAUCAUAUUCUAGUACAUCUCACCACUUCCAACUUACUAAGCUAUUAUGCUAGCUUUCUCUUUGAUCUUUCAAAUGUGAAAUAAACUGCUUCAUUAUAAAUCACAGGGCUUUUAUGCUUGCAUUUAAAAAAUUCUUGAACACUCUUUCUUCAGGUCUUGCAAUGGCUACCUUAAUCUCAUUAGAAUAAACACUCAUGUCGCUUCCUCGAGAAGGCCUUUUCCCAAUUGUUCUUGUUAAAGUAUAUAUAUUUUUCUCAUUCCCGCCAGAAGCUGUAUCACAUUAUUCUGUUUUCUUCACAGGGUACGUAAUGUGUAAGGUUUAUACCUUCAGAAAUAAUGCAUUUUAAUAGUGAAGAACAGUUUUAAAUUAAAGGACUGAAGCUACAGCAGCCAAGUUUUGUACCUCAGUGAUCUAAAGGGUGAAGGGUAAAUCUUAGAAUUUGUGAAUUCAUAACUUAUAAAUGCCUUAUAAAUGCUAGGUUUGGGGAUGACACAUCUUAUCUUGAUCAUAACUGAAUAUAUGUAUUAAUGGGAGUUCUCAAAAGUGAUAAAGCAGUUUGAAUUAAUGGAAAAAUGUGGAAACUAGAGCUAGAAACACAUUUUAUAGCAAAUUUAGAAGUGAGGCGUAUUUAGUUUUGAACGUGGAUGACUGAGAAUUAAAGGCAUAGUUAUAGCGUCAUCACCACUAGCAGGGUAACUUUGAGGCAGUCUUUUUUACCUGUUCCAGCUUCAAUUUACUCAUCUGUAAAAUUGAGCCUCUUAUCUCAGCAAGAAUUGUGUAAGGUAUCUAAGGCAGACUUUGAGAAGUAGUCAAGCAUGGUUUUGAAAGUAUGUUCUUUAGAGCUAAAAUCUAGUGCUACUUACUUUCCAGCUAUAUGAUCCUGGGUUAGUUACUUGGUCUCUCUGAAUAUCAAGUAGACAUCCAGCUUUUCUAACACAAUUUAUUGCACAGUCCAACAUUUCCCAGUGACUUGAAAUGCUACCGUUUAUUAUACAUUCAUUUCUCAAAUAUACAAAAAUCUGUUUCUCGAUUCUUUAUUCUUCUUUGUUUUAUUUAUCUGUUUUGGAGCCAGUAUCAGAGUUUUCAAAUUUUCAAACAUUAAAUGGCUUUUUUUGUACCUUUGUUUUUCUGGUUUGAUGAUUAUAUAAAUCCCUCAAAUUUUCUCUCUAUACAAUUACCAAGACUCCAUGAAUUUAUGAUUUUGUUUGUAAUUGCAUUAAAUGUACAGAUUAACAGGAGGAUAACUGAUAUGUUUAUAAUAUUGUCAUUAAAAGUUUGAUGUGUCAUUUAUUUAGAUCUUCUAUUGAGUUGAUAGUAUAGAUUUUUAUGUAAGUCUUUCUCAUUUUUCAUUAGGUUUACUGCUGAGGAUUUUAUGGUUUUCCCUAUAUUAUUAUGAUUUUUUUUCCUCCCUUUCUUUAGGACUGGAAACCUAUUGAUUUUUGUAUAUUAUUUCUGGCAAACAGACUGAACUGUUAUAUUAGUUCUAAUAGUUUUCCAGUUAAUGUUUAGGGUCUUUCUGUGUAGAUAAUCAUAAUAUCUGUAAAUAAUGAUUUUUUCUUCAUAUCCAAUAUUUAUUUAUAUUUAUUUUGGGAGAUAAUUGAAUUUCCUGUAUUAUGUAUGACAGUGGGGUGUCAGCACCAUGCGGGACUGUGGUGAGCAUUGGUAACAAUCAGUAUAAAAUAUUUGAUAUACUAUAGGAAUUCGGUAAAUGUAACUGUUCAGUAUUUUUUCAGUACUGUCCAUGACUUAUAAAGUUACUAAUUAUACUAAAUUCAAAAAAAUCAAUUUGAAUAGUUUACUUUCAAAUAUAUGCUAUUUCCAGGAGCUUGACAAUUGCAUUCUAUAAGAAAAUUAUUGCGUAUUUCUCUCAUAAUUAUUGUUGUUUAAAUGUGCUUUAAAAUGUGGAAUUCCCAUUAUGGUGCAGUGGAAAUGAAUCCAGCUAGUAUCCAUGAGAAUGCAGGUUCAGUCUCUGGCCUUGCUCAGUGUGUUGGGGAUCUGGCGUUGCCGUGAACUGUGGUGUAGGUCACAGACAUGGCGUGGAUCCCAUGUUGCUCUGGCCUAGGCUGUCAGCUGAAGCUCCAGUUCAACCCCUAGCCUGGGAAUUUCCAUAUGCCAUGGGUGGGGUGCAGAUUUAAAAAAUAAUUAAUUAAUUAAUUAAAAGAAAUUACAUUAAAAAAUAAAAAUGUGGCACAAGUGACUGAAACAGUUAUAGCAUGAUUAAUAACAAAGUCUUAGGUCUUAAUUAAGUCUUUACUGACCUAUGGUUACGCCAACCCUUUUUUUUUUAAACAGGAAAGAAGUGUUCAGUAAAAAUACAUAAAAGUUUAGCAAACCACUGUGUUACCAUUCUCUCCUAAAGAAAAUUACAUGGAAUGGAAGGCAGGAUUUUCUGUUCUUCAUAUAAUAGAGGUUCAGGCUGAACAAUUUCUACUGGACUGCAUCAUUACUUAUGAAAUAUCUACUAAUAGGGAAAUAUUUAAAUAAAUUUGAUAUCUUACCUCAAUGUAAUAUUAUAUAGCCAUUAACAUAGAAUUUGUGAAAAACUGCACAUAAGUAAAGAAAAUGUGAAUGAUAAGU